Molecule: long non-coding RNA, 1701 nt
Filed under: Lathyrus oleraceus (garden pea)
Lineage: Eukaryota; Viridiplantae; Streptophyta; Magnoliopsida; Fabales; Fabaceae
Description: Pisum sativum (pea) long non-coding RNA (PSAT_LNC038961)
Source: RNAcentral
UUGUUGAGUCUUGCUUGGAACAGGUUCUGAGUUGCAAAGAUGUCGUCGAUGUGUGGAUAUACUGUCGAGUUGUUCGGUGUCUUCUUACCAUGUCGACAGCGACUCAAACCUACUAUCAUCUCAUAACUGCAUCUUCAGCAAGCAUUUGAAAUUUCACUAAUAGUUUUCUUUGGCAAUCCAAGCUAUUCUCUUAGAAAUCAUGCAAUAAGCGACACCGUAUUGUUCACACCACUGUUACCAUAAUAGAGUUAGUUUGCAGAGCGAUUUGCACAACUUGGUGAGUUCGAGGCAAAAGCAAUUUCAGUUAGAGGGUAUGGGAUCUAAUUCCACGGUUGUGGUGAGACGAUGCUAAAAGAAAAGAGGAGGAAGAAUGGAAGAUGGUGGUGGAAACACGACAGUGAAUGGAGGUUGUUGUGGUGGUUCGGAUGUUUGAGAGUGAAACGGAGGGAGAUCCGGAGGUAGCGGUGGUUUUUAUGGCAGUGAAGUUGGUUUUGAUGAAGGAAUCUCCCCCUUGAGUUCUUUUCAGAAAGCCUUUUUUAGAGGAAGGGAUUUCGUUUUCUUUCUCUUAAAAGUCAUUCCUCUUUUUCUCGUGACGGAUCCCCCCAAAAAGGUUGUCUAAAGAGAGAGUAUUAUUGGCCAAUGAAAAGAAACCGUUGGGAAGGGAGAAUAACGUAUGUGUAAGGAGAAUGGACGUGUGUCCUCCUCCUAGUGGAGAAUUGGGAGAUAUUCUUCAAUUGAUUCCUCCCUUAGAAAAAUCGUGAAAUUGAAGAUAAGAUGGGAUUCUAUGCGCCACGUGGACCAUCUUGAUUGGGGCUUAAAUUCUUUUUAUUUAAUUUUUAAAAUUUUCUUUUCUUAUUUUAUUUGAUUUUGAUUGGUCAAGAGAGGUGGACAUGGAUAAUUAUUGUGAGCCUUAGAUUAAUUUGAAUUAAUGAUCAGGAUUGGAUUAAAGAAAUACAAAUAAAUCCAAAAUGUCUACAAUGUCCCUUCUAGAUGAUUUAAUUGAUUUAAAACAAAUUAAAUCAACCAAAUCAAAUAAAAUUCCCAUCUUUAUACACAUGAUAAAAAUAAAAUGAGGACAUGAAAAAUUCUAUUUAAUUAUUCUGAUUAACUUGACAAAAGAAUAAAAUGACUAAAUAUGAAUAAAAGUCGGGCGAAAAUUUGCUCGACAAAUUAAACUGAAUGCAUUAAAAUGAUCAGUGCGAAAUAAACUUAUUGGAAAAAUACAACAUUUCUUUUAAUUCAAAAAUAAUUUUUGAUCGGUUAAAAGGUUUAGACGGAUCAAAAUACAGCUGAAAAAGUCGUCGAAAAAUAUAACGAGCACACCAGGUUAUACUACGCGAACCGUAGAUUAAUAAUACUGACGUCUGCAAGCUUGAUUUCGAAACUUCUUACCCGCUAAUUUUAUAUUUACUUGAGAAAUUAUUUAAUCAAUUUAUCUGUAUAUUCGAUAAUUUAUUCCGACUGAUAUUUUAGGUAUUAUUCAUGAUGGAAUGCAUGUCAUGCUAUACAUAUGAUGCAAACUGAAAUUAAAAUCGAAUUUAUGAAAGUUUUAAAAUGCCCGGACAAAAUUGGGGUAUGACAGCUGCCCCUAUUUAAUCACCUUAAACUAGAAGGUAUGAAUGACAACAGUCUUCGUAUAUUCGUGGUGGAAGAUAAUUAAAUAAGAAAAAACCCAAAUUUUGUCCUUUGAGAUGCAAGGAU